UGAUUGAAUAUAAUAAAUACAAGGAAGGGAUCAUUGAGACUGGUGGUGUAGUAGGGAUUGCCUCUUUGUUCACUCUCUCGCACCAACCCCCACCUCCAAUAAGGGGCAGAAAAGAUUUGAAUCUCUUUGCCCCCACCUCCCUCGUCUCUCCUUUCCGUCCGUAGUCCCUGUGGUAUGGGGGAGAGAAUCCCUCCUGGAAGUUACUUCCAGUACCCACCUCCUGGAGUCCAUGCUUCUCCACGCAGGUCUUCUCUCCCUGCAGACCGAGAGAGAUAUUUGGCUGAACUACUGGCAGAGAAGCAAAAGUUGGGACCAUUCCUGCAAAUAUUUCCCCUAUGUAGCAGACUUCUAAAUCAUGAGAUCAGACGAGUAUCAGGCUUCAAUCAAACUCUCGCAGAUCAUGAGAGAUUUGAGCAUGACAGUCCAUUUAGGUCAUCAAGUCAAAAUGCGAAUGGUCGACCAAUGGAUUUGGAGGGAUGGCCAGGAAUACACAUGGAGGACAAUGGACAUAUCCAGAGAAUGGCCCCGUUCCAAUCUCCUUCUAUGGGCUGGCCUGGGGCGCAAGGAAUUCCAGCCACCCCUAUUGUAAAGAGAGUUAUUAGACUUGAUGUUCCAGUUGACAAAUAUCCACAUUACAAUUUUGUUGGCCGAAUUUUGGGACCACGUGGGAACUCCUUAAAAAGAGUUGAAGCCAUGACAGAGUGUAGGGUGUACAUCCGAGGCCGGGGCUCUGUGAAGGAUUCUGUAAAGGAAGAGAAAUUAAAAGAUAAGCCUGGAUAUGAACAUCUUAAUGAGCCGUUGCACGUGUUGGUGGAGGCUGAAUUUCCGGAGGAUAUAAUCAACGCUCGGUUGGAUCAUGCGGUGGCAAUACUAGAGAACCUUCUGAAGCCUGUGGACGAGUCCUUCGAUCACUAUAAGAAGCAACAACUCAGAGAAUUGGCUAUGCUAAACGGUACACUGAGGGAAGAGAGCCCUAGUAUGAGCCCAAGUCUAAGCCCGAGCCUGUCGCCCUUCAACAGUACAGGGAUGAAGCGAGCCAAGACAGGAAAAUAAUAAAAUCCUCAAAAUAUGCUGAUCACGAGUAGUUUAAUCACAGAAACUUUCACAUCUGACUUGUCGAAGUUUUGACUUCCAACACAUUGGGAGGCAUUAUUGACAAACUGAUGAACUGAUUUCGAGCCCUUCUUCCGGCCUCUCAGAUGGGUCAACAGCUUCACUAGUUCCAUGCGACAUGCCUUCAACGUCCACGUGGCCAAGCAAGUGCACUAUGGUGCAGGUUCGAUCCCUAGGGAAUCCCUUCUCCCCCGACAACCAACUACAUAACUCACUAACGGUAUUGUUCGAAAAAAAAAAGAAAAAAAAAAGGAAUGAAGUUCAUACAUAUUUACUUGAAAUGGGAAGAGAGAACGAGAAUUGAAUAAAGUAUUUCACCUAAUCAGUCCAAUUCAUGGGUUUUCUAAGUAUUUAAAUUAUGGUUUGUAAUGUCGAAUCCAUUUGUCCUUUUCGCGGCUAAUAAAGUAGGACCCACCAA
Molecule: RNA transcript, 1531 nt
Organism: Pyrus x bretschneideri (Chinese white pear)
Lineage: Eukaryota; Viridiplantae; Streptophyta; Magnoliopsida; Rosales; Rosaceae
Gene name: KH domain-containing protein At1g09660/At1g09670
Exons: 9
Source: RefSeq, a predicted model, not a curated record